GUGGGGAAUUUUGGGCAAUGGGCGCAAGCCUGACCCAGCGACGCCGCGUGGAGGAUGACGGCCUUCGGGUUGUAAACUCCUGUCAGGUGGGAAGAAAUGCUCGCCGGUGAACAGCCGGCGGGAGUUGACGGUACCACCAAAGGAAGCCCCGGCUAACUCCGUGCCAGCAGCCGCGGUAAUACGGAGGGGGCAAGCGUUAUUCGGAAUUACUGGGCGUAAAGCGCACGUAGGCGGCCCUGCAAGUCGUAGGUGAAAGCCCUCGGCUCAACCGAGGAACUGCCUUCGAAACUGCUUGGCUUGAGUCCGGGAGGGGGGAGCGGAAUUCCCAGUGUAGCGGUGAAAUGCGUAGAUACUGGGAGGAACACCGGUGGCGAAGGCGGCUCCCUGGACCGGUACUGACGCUGAGGUGCGAAAGCGUGGGUAGCAAACAGGAUUAGAUACCCUGGUAGUCC
This 452-nucleotide ribosomal RNA is filed under the name uncultured bacterium. RNAcentral describes it as "bacterial SSU rRNA". It matches the Rfam family "Bacterial small subunit ribosomal RNA", at positions 354 to 796 of the family's 1533-position model. The record is from RNAcentral.